AUAUCUGCCCAGUGAAAUUUUAACGGCCGCAGUACCCUGACUGUGCAAAGGUAGCAUAAUCAUUUGGCUUUUAAUUGGAGUCUGGAAUCAAAGAAGUUACGUAGAUUAAUUGUCUUACAGUAAAAUAAUUUAAAAUUACUAAAGAAGUGAAAAUGCUUCUGAAUAUAAAUAAUAGACGAGAAGACCCUUAGAAUUUUUAAGAUUAUAUAUUAAUAGAUAUAAUAUUUUUUGUUGGGGCAACAUUAUUUCAUGUAAUAAAUAAUAAAUAUUAUUAUGUAACGAUUAAAUAAUAAAAGUAAAAUUACCUAAGGGAUAACAGCAUAAUUUAUUAAUAAGUUUGUGACCUCGAUGUUGGACUAGGUACUAUUAAAGCUAACCGUUUUAA
Molecule: ribosomal RNA, 385 nt
Filed under: Sericata sericata
Lineage: Eukaryota; Metazoa; Mollusca; Gastropoda; Stylommatophora; Clausiliidae
Description: partial 16S ribosomal RNA
Source: RNAcentral